UGAAGAAUCCCACUGCCAGAUAGGUGUUGCUUGAAUGCAUUGCUUAUGUACUCUCCUCCAUUAUCAGACCUGAAAACUUUAAUCUUGGCAUGAUAUUGGUUAAUCACAUAAGUUUGAAAGUUUCUAAAUGCAUCAAGCACCCUAUCUUUGGUUGGAAUUAAAGUUAACCAGGUGUAUUUGGAUUUUUCAUCAAUGAAAGUGACAUAAUACUUCUGAUUUUCCCUAGAUAAGCAGGGAGCUGUCCAAACAUCCGAGUGAACAAGAUCAAAGCAAUUUUCAUAAAUAGUAGAAGAGUUUGGAAAAACAGUUUUACAAUGCUUGCCUAAAAUACAAGCUUCACAAUCAUUAUUCUCAAAAGAAACACCUGGCAACAUCAGUUUUAAAGCUUUAUUAUGAGGGUGUCCUAGUCUAGCAUGCCACAAUGCAUUCUUGCUUAGACUAGUAGAAGCAGAAGAAAAGGAACAACUAAAUUUUGAACUAGGAGCAGAGAAGCUCAAAUUCUCUAGCACAUAAAGAUCUCCCUUGGUAACUCCACUUCCAAGCACCUUAUGGCUUUCAAUAUCCUGAAAUUUUACACUGUUAGGGCUGAAAAUGACAUUACAAUUCAGAUCAGUAGCACACUUCUUAACUGAAAGAAGAUUAGAAGUAAAAUCAGGCAUAUAAAGCGCUUUGGAAUCUUUAUCAAAUAGCUUGAGCUCUCCUAUUCCUUUAAUAGGAAUUUUAGCACCAUUGGCUAUCAUCACAUUACCAUGAGCAGGUUCAAUGUUGUUAAUCAAUCUAGUGUCACUUAUCAUGUGAUGAGAUGCACCAGAAUCAACAAUGAGAGGCUUAUAUGAACUAGAUGUGGAGUUAGCUAGAUGCGCUAGUAUACUAGAGGGCUUAUAUGCAUGGGCAGAAUCAUAUGCAUGAUCAAUCCUAUCAAAGAUACCCUUUCUAAGAUGAUUAUACAUGUCAAAUGAGUCCUCUAGUAACCUAUCAGUUCUAGCAAUCAUAGAAGCUCCAUGAGAGUAUGCAAGGGUGUUACCAUGUUCCUUGAAGAGCUUGAUGAGAACAUCCAAGUCUGAUCUCUUCAAGUAUUCAUCACCACUAGUGCUGCCUCUAGAACUAGGACCACCAGUAUAAGCCACCAAAGACUUCCCAUUAUCCAUCUCUCCAGCCUGUUCCUUGCUUGCACCACCACCACUACUCUCCACCAUGUGAGCUUUGGCCUCUUUGAACUUGGCUGGCUUCAAAUGAGGAUGUAGGAUCCAGCAUUGGCUCUUCUUGUGGCCUUGCUUCUUGCAGUGAUCACAACUCCCACCAAACUUCUCAUACUUGCCAUGGAUGGCCUUGUUAGCUUGUGCAAGUUCUCCCUGAUCUCCUUGAGCUUGCGCUGCUUGAUUUGCCAAAGCUAGCUCCUUUCCCUUCUUGUUAAAUAGCUCCAUGUUCCCAUAUUCCUUUUGGAUCCUAGCACACACCUCUUCUAGGUUAGGUAGAGUCUCAUCUCUCAACAUGUGCUGAAUGAACCCUCCAUAUGCUGGAUUCAAAGUGAGAAGCAGUCCAAAGACUUUAUCCUGCUCCCUUCUCUUGUUAAGCUCCAUUGGAUCAAUGGUAUUUGGCCUCAACAUCUCUAGUUCAGACCACAGUGCUCUGUACUUGCCCAAAUGCUUCUCAAAGUCCAUAUCUUCUUGUACUAGACUAUUGAGAGCUUGCUUCACCUCAAAGACCCUGUUGAGAUUUGAGGUGUUUCCAUAGAUUUGCUUCAAUGUAUCCCAAAGUUCUUUAGCUGUAUCACAGUAGCUAUAAGCAUCCAUCAAGUUCUGAUCCAAGGAGGCAAGAAGAGCAUUAAUCACCAUACAAUCAGCUUGUUGCCAUUUAUCAUAGGCAGUCUCACUUUCGUCCUCUUCUUCCUCCUUUUCUUUGAUCUCUUGCUUUGGAAUCACACUGGAUGUGAGAUGUUUGAGCAAUCCCUUGCCUCCAAUAGCAUUCCUGGCCAUCCUAGACCACACAAGGUAGUUGUUUCCCUUGAACUUGGUAGCAAUCUUCAUGUAGACUCCACCACUAUCUUCCAUCUUUCAAAAAGCUUCAAUCUUGACUCUAGUAACCCACUAGCUUGAAAAGACUUGAACUUUUUCACUUAGAUCCUUAAGAACACCUCAAAGACCUCUCAGUUUGUACACAAAAGCACCAAUACACUUCAAAGACUUGACCUUUAAGCUUGAACACGGAUCUGAGCUCUCCAAACCACCAAAGAAACCAGCUUUAGGCUAGUUCUUCAGUAAAAACACCAACAGAAACUUUCUUGAGAUUUUCAAAGAUCUAGCCUUGGAUAAUCUCAAGAACACUCAAGAACUCAAGAACAUUCAACCUGGCUCUGAUACCAUAAGAUUUCUAGACAUCUUGAAUAAUAAAUGAGAUUAGAAAGAGAUUUGAGAGGAUUAUUAAAGAGAUUAGAGAUUAGAGAUUGGAGAUUAAUGAGAUUUGGAAAUGAGAUUAAAGGCUAGAGAGAGAAUUCAAAGAUGACCAGAGACUUUUUAUUAUCUUGCUUAAAUCUUAAUGAAGAGAUUAUAAAGUUUAUAUAGAGAGGAUACAAGGGUUUUAAGAGCUUGAGAAAGGCUGUCAUGGGCUUCUUUCUUUCUGGGCCGAGUACUGUAGCAACAGUCUCAAGUCUGGUGCCUAACUUCUCAAGUCUGGUGCCUUAGCAACAGUCUCAAGUCUGGUGCCUAACUUCUCAAGUCUGGUGCCUUUGAUAUCCUUCUUUCAUAUAGCUUGAUCUCUUCAUCUCAACACCAACGACCUAACCAAGUAGAUUCAUGACCUUGGACUGAAGAAGCCUUGCUCAUCUUUUUUUCCUCCAUAACCAUAUUACCAUGUUCAGACAUUGUACCAAACAGAGAUCUUCUCCAAAAGUUCUGACCAAACCACCUGUAUGAUGUAAAUUACAGUUUCUUUCUCAAUUCUAAAACUUUUAAGAACAAGUUUCAACAUUUCACCCAAAUAUAUAAACUUUGAUACGUAAUUCGUGGAUUAUUACACUUAAUAUCAACACAUUUGUCUUUCAAUCAACUCUCCAACAUAGAAAGACAAGCAAUUUGCUUUAAGUUUUCACUUAGAGAACAUACAAAUCUAUGCAAGCGAUGAGCAGAUUUUACCAUUUACAGAUCUGAGGUUGAGAUUAUUACCAGAGACCAGAAUACGUGGAGAGACACUGUCCAAAGAACGAAUAUAAAAAGAUGAAAGCUCGAUUUAUUCCCUCUCUUUCCGAAGAAAUGUAAUAGUCUUAACUACAAUUUAUCAGUGUCUUCUUCUUAAAGAAAAAAAUCCAAACAAUCAAAUGGAAACGAGGAAGAAAAAGAAGAAGAAGAAGACGGCUAAGAAUAUCACCAAUCCACUUCUACAACAAGGUGUUAAAAAGAAACCUCGUAUUUCGUAUAUCAUCGAGUUACAAUUAUUUCCGAAUUCUUUUUUAUUAAAUUCAAAAUCUUAUUUUAAGUGAAAAAAUGACGUGUUCCUUUUCCUGCCUUGUUUAGUGCAAAUGGG
RNAcentral lists this long non-coding RNA (3519 nucleotides) under Brassica rapa (field mustard). RNAcentral's name for it is "long non-coding RNA (BRAP_LNC004892)". The record is from RNAcentral. Lineage: Eukaryota; Viridiplantae; Streptophyta; Magnoliopsida; Brassicales; Brassicaceae.